CAAACACACCCCCGUGCACGUUGAAGGCCCGGCUCGUUGAGUGGGUGGGCGACCGCCCAGGAUUCGUAGCCUCGCUUUCUUACACAAACUUCAGAAUGUACAUCAGAAUGUCUUACGCGUGUAACGCAUCGUAAUAUAACUUUCAGCAACGGAUCUCUUGGCUCUCGCAUCGAUGAAGAACGCAGCGAAAUGCGAUAAGUAAUGUGAAUUGCAGAAUUCAGUGAAUCAUCGAAUCUUUGAACGCACCUUGCGCUCCUUGGCAUUCCGAGGAGCAUGCCUGUUUGAGUGUCAUGAAACUCUCAACCCCUGCCAUCUUUGCGGAUGAGCGUCGGUUGGAUUUUGGAGGUUGCCGGACUCGUUCGGCUCCCCUUGAAAGCAUAGUAAAGCUUGGACCUGACCGACCGGGUGGACGUGAUAGAAAGUCACCGUCGACCGAAGGGUCCGUCGCCUGAACGGUUCAAGCUUUGUUUGUCGUCUUCAGGACGAACAUCUCUGACCUCUGACCUCAAAUC
Molecule: ribosomal RNA, 512 nt
Filed under: Laetiporus sp. OLRIM585
Lineage: Eukaryota; Fungi; Basidiomycota; Agaricomycetes; Polyporales; Laetiporaceae
Description: eukaryotic LSU rRNA
Rfam family: 5.8S ribosomal RNA (bases 138-291)
Source: RNAcentral